UUAGUGAUACGCCUGUUGGGUAGGGGAGCGUUGUGUAAGCGGAAGAAGGUUCAUCGAGAGGUGGGCUGGACGUAUCACAAGUGCGAAUGCUGACAUAAGUAACGAUAAAACGGGUGAAAAACCCGUUCGCCGGAAGACCAAGGGUUCCUGUCCAACGUUAAUCGGGGCAGGGUGAGUCGGCUCCUAAGGUGAGGCUGAAAAGCGUAGUCGAUGGGAAACAGGUUAAUAUUCCUGUACUUGGUAAAGCUGCGAUGUGGGGACGGAGUAGGUUAGGUUAUCGCACUGUUGGAUAUGUGCGUUUAAGUUGGUAGGUGGGAAGUUUAGGCAAAUCCGGACUUCCUUAACACAGAGAGAUGAUGACGAGGCUCUACGGAGCUGAAGUAACUGAUACCACACUUCCAGGAAAAGCCACUAAGCGAAAGGCUUUACUAAACCGUACUGAAAACCGACACAGGUGGUCAGGUAGAGAAUACUCAGGCGCUUGAGAGAACUCGGGUGAAGGAACUAGGCAAAAUAGCACCGUAACUUCGGGAGAAGGUGCGCCGGCGUAGAUUGUAAGGGCUAGCCCCUGAAGGUUGAACCGGUCGAAGAUACCAGCUGGCUGCAACUGUUUAUUAAAAACACAGCACUCUGCAAACACGAAAGUGGACGUAUAGGGUGUGAUGCCUGCCCGGUGCUGGAAGGUUAAUUGAUGGUGUCAUCGCAAGAGAAGCACCUGAUCGAAGCCCCAGUAAACGGCGGCCGUAACUAUAACGGUCCUAAGGUAGCGAAAUUCCUUGUCGGGUAAGUUCCGACCUGCACGAAUGGCAUAAUGAUGGCCAGGCUGUCUCCACCCGAGACUCAGUGAAAUUGAAAUCGCCGUGAAGAUGCGGUGUACCCGCGGCUAGACGGAAAGACCCCGUGAACCUUUACUAUAGCUUGACACUGAACAUUGAAUUUUGAUGUGUAGGAUAGGUGGGAGCCUUUGAAGCAGUGACGCCAGUCAUUGUGGAGGCGAGCUUGAAAUACCACCCUUUAACGUUUGAUGUUCUAACGAAGAUGACGAAACGUGGUCUCGGACAGUGUCUGGUGGGUAGUUUGACUGGGGCGGUCUCCUCCCAAAGCGUAACGGAGGAGCACGAAGGUUUGCUAAUCACGGUCGGACAUCGUGAGGUUAGUGCAAUGGUAUAAGCAAGCUUAACUGCGAGACAGACAAGUCGAGCAGGUACGAAAGUAGGUCAUAGUGAUCCGGUGGUUCUGAAUGGAAGGGCCAUCGCUCAACGGAUAAAAGGUACUCCGGGGAUAACAGGCUGAUACCGCCCAAGAGUUCAUAUCGACGGCGGUGUUUGGCACCUCGAUGUCGGCUCAUCACAUCCUGGGGCUGAAGUAGGUCCCAAGGGUAUGGCUGUUCGCCAUUUAAAGUGGUACGCGAGCUGGGUUUAGAACGUCGUGAGACAGUUCGGUCCCUAUCUGCCGUGGGCGU
Molecule: ribosomal RNA, 1462 nt
Filed under: Haemophilus influenzae
Lineage: Bacteria; Pseudomonadati; Pseudomonadota; Gammaproteobacteria; Pasteurellales; Pasteurellaceae
Description: bacterial LSU rRNA
Rfam family: Bacterial large subunit ribosomal RNA
Source: RNAcentral